UACGUAGGGGGCAAGCGUUGUCCGGAUUUACUGGGCGUAAAGAGCGUGUAGGCGGCCAAGCAGGUCCGUUGUGAAAGUCGGGGGCUCAACCCUGGAAAGCCGGUGGAUACUGUCGGGCUAGAGUCCGGAAGAGGCGAGUGGAAUUCCUGGUGUAGCGGUGGAAUGCGCAGAUAUCAGGAGGAACACCGAUGGCGAAGGCAGCUCGCUGGGACGGUACUGACGCUGAGGCGCGAAAGCGUGGGGAGCGAACAGG
RNAcentral lists this ribosomal RNA (253 nucleotides) under uncultured bacterium. Its description in RNAcentral is "partial 16S ribosomal RNA". It matches the Rfam family "Bacterial small subunit ribosomal RNA", at positions 524 to 776 of the family's 1533-position model. The record is from RNAcentral.